RNAcentral lists this ribosomal RNA (301 nucleotides) under uncultured bacterium. RNAcentral's name for it is "partial 16S ribosomal RNA". It matches the Rfam family "Bacterial small subunit ribosomal RNA", at positions 509 to 807 of the family's 1533-position model. The record is from RNAcentral.
CAGUAGCCACGGUAAUACGUAGGUGGCAAGCGUUGUCCGGAAUUAUUGGGCGUAAAGGGCUCGCAGGCGGUUUCUUAAGUCUGAUGUGAAAGCCCCCGGCUCAACCGGGGAGGGUCGUUGGAAACUGGGAAACUUGAGUGCAGAAGAGGAGAGUGGAAUUCCACGCGUAGCGGUGAAAUGCGUAGAGACGUGGAGGAACACCAGUGGCGAAGGCGACUCUCUGGUCUGUAACUGACGCUGAGGAGCGAAAGCGUGGGGAGCGAACAGGAUUAGAUACCCCGGUAGUCCCUGUCUCUUAUAC